RNAcentral lists this ribosomal RNA (457 nucleotides) under uncultured bacterium. Its description in RNAcentral is "partial 16S ribosomal RNA". It matches the Rfam family "Bacterial small subunit ribosomal RNA", at positions 339 to 795 of the family's 1533-position model. The record is from RNAcentral.
CCUCGGGAGGCUGCAGUGGGGAAUAUUGCACAAUGGGGGAAACCCUGAUGCAGCGACGCCGCGUGAGUGAAGAAGUAAUUCGUUACGUAAAGCUCUAUCAGCAGGGAAGAAACACUGACCUUACGGUCAGCAGACGGUACCUGAGUAAGAAGCCCCGGCUAACUACGUGCCAGCAGCCGCGGUAAUACGUAGGGGGCAAGCGUUAUCCGGAUUUACUGGGUGUAAAGGGAGCGUAGACGGUUCGCCAAGUAUGGAGUGAAAUGCCGCAGCUUAACGGCGGAAGUGCUUUGGAAACUGGCGAACUAGAGUGCGGGAGGGGUGAGCGGAAUGCCUAGUGUAGCGGUGAAAUGCGUAGAUAUUAGGCGGAACACCGGUGGCGAAGGCGGCUUACUGGACCGUAACUGACGUUGAGGCUCGAAAGCGUGGGGAGCAAACAGGAUUAGAUACCCUUGUAGUC